GAGAGUAUAGCUCAGUAGUAGAGUGCACGCUUAGCAUGCAUGAGGUCCUGGGUUCAAUCCCUAUGUACCUCCA
Molecule: transfer RNA, 73 nt
Filed under: Camelus bactrianus (Bactrian camel)
Lineage: Eukaryota; Metazoa; Chordata; Mammalia; Artiodactyla; Camelidae
Also listed under: 2 other names
Rfam family: tRNA
About the family: Transfer RNA (tRNA) molecules are approximately 80 nucleotides in length. Their secondary structure includes four short double-helical elements and three loops (D, anti-codon, and T loops). Further hydrogen bonds mediate the characteristic L-shaped molecular structure. tRNAs have two regions of fundamental functional importance: the anti-codon, which is responsible for specific mRNA codon recognition, and the 3' end, to which the tRNAs corresponding amino acid is attached (by aminoacyl-tRNA synthetases). tRNAs cope with the degeneracy of the genetic code in two manners: having more than one tRNA (with a specific anti-codon) for a particular amino acid; and 'wobble' base-pairing, i.e. permitting non-standard base-pairing at the 3rd anti-codon position.
Source: Rfam by way of RNAcentral